CCUACGGGAGGCAGCAGUGAGGAAUAUUGGUCAAUGGACGCAAGUCUGAACCAGCCAUGCCGCGUGAGGGAUGAAGGUACAGAGUAUCGUAAACCUCUUUUGUCAGGGAACAAAGGCGGGGACGUGUCCCCGGAUGAGUGUACCUGAAGAAAAAGCAUAGGCUAACUCCGUGCCAGCAGCCGCGGUAAUACGGGGGAUGCGAGCGUUAUCUGGAUUUAUUGGGUUUAAAGGGUGCGCAGGCGGUCUGUUAAGUCAGCGGGAAAAGCCCGGGGCGCAACCCGGGACCGCCGUUGAGACUGGCAGUCUCGAGUUGGAGAGAAGUAUGCGGAAUGCGCGGUGUAGCGGUGAAAUGCAUAGAUAUCGCGCAGAACUCCGAUGGCGAAGGCAGCAUGCCGGCUCCACACUGACGCUGAGGCACGAAAGCGUGGGUAUCGAACAGGAUUAGAUACCCGGGUAGUC
Molecule: ribosomal RNA, 459 nt
Filed under: uncultured bacterium
Lineage: Bacteria
Description: partial 16S ribosomal RNA
Rfam family: Bacterial small subunit ribosomal RNA
Source: RNAcentral